Molecule: unclassified non-coding RNA, 209 nt
Filed under: Glomeromycetes sp.
Lineage: Eukaryota; Fungi; Glomeromycota; Glomeromycetes
Description: partial contains 5.8S ribosomal RNA and internal transcribed spacer 2
Rfam family: 5.8S ribosomal RNA (bases 1-71)
Source: RNAcentral
GUGAAUCAUCGAAUCUUUGAACGCAAAUUGCACUUCCUGGUAUCCCGGGGAGUAUGCCUGUUUGAGGGUCAGUAGUAAAAAAAAAUCGGGUGGGUUUCAUAUUGUGAGGGUUCCGGAGUUGGGGCUUAGCUUAACUUUUUUGGUUAAUGGACUUAAAAUUGACCUUUUUUUCGCAUUUUUGGACGGACUAAGAUUUUUUUUUAUUCAUC